Myotis brandtii (Brandt's bat) is the source of this 73-nucleotide non-coding RNA. Lineage: Eukaryota; Metazoa; Chordata; Mammalia; Chiroptera; Vespertilionidae. The record is from Rfam.
GCCAGUUUAGCUCAGUGGAUAGAGUGUUGGCCUGUGGACCCAAGGGUCCUGGUUUCGAUUCCAGUCAAGGGCA